Molecule: ribosomal RNA, 541 nt
Filed under: Aspergillus niger
Lineage: Eukaryota; Fungi; Ascomycota; Eurotiomycetes; Eurotiales; Aspergillaceae
Description: eukaryotic LSU rRNA
Rfam family: 5.8S ribosomal RNA (bases 162-315)
Source: RNAcentral
CCUCCCAUCCGUGUCUAUUGUACCCUGUUGCUUCGGCGGGCCCGCCGCUUGUCGGCCGCCGGGGGGGCGCCUCUGCCCCCCGGGCCCGUGCCCGCCGGAGACCCCAACACGAACACUGUCUGAAAGCGUGCAGUCUGAGUUGAUUGAAUGCAAUCAGUUAAAACUUUCAACAAUGGAUCUCUUGGUUCCGGCAUCGAUGAAGAACGCAGCGAAAUGCGAUAACUAAUGUGAAUUGCAGAAUUCAGUGAAUCAUCGAGUCUUUGAACGCACAUUGCGCCCCCUGGUAUUCCGGGGGGCAUGCCUGUCCGAGCGUCAUUGCUGCCCUCAAGCCCGGCUUGUGUGUUGGGUCGCCGUCCCCCUCUCCGGGGGGACGGGCCCGAAAGGCAGCGGCGGCACCGCGUCCGAUCCUCGAGCGUAUGGGGCUUUGUCACAUGCUCUGUAGGAUUGGCCGGCGCCUGCCGACGUUUUCCAACCAUUCUUUCCAGGUUGACCUCGGAUCAGGUAGGGAUACCCGCUGAACUUAAGCAUAUCAAUAAGCGGA